GACAGUUGACUUUUGCCGGGAUAAUUAAGGAUACUAUACAAUGGUUCUCACUCAGAAGCAGCGUGAUGAUCUGCAUGGUGCAAUUUUGGAGUACAUAGGAAAUUUGGGUGAAGGUUUUACUGCUAGUGCGGCA
Molecule: non-coding RNA, 133 nt
Filed under: Fibrocapsa japonica
Lineage: Eukaryota; Raphidophyceae; Chattonellales; Chattonellaceae
Source: RNAcentral